CCUACGGGUGGCAGCAGUGGGGAAUAUUGGACAAUGGGCGAAAGCCUGAUCCAGCCAUGCCGCGUGUGUGAAGAAGGCCUUCGGGUUGUAAAGCACUUUCAGUGGGGAAGAAAGCCUUGGGGCUAAUACCCUCGAGGAAGGACAUCACCCACAGAAGAAGCACCGGCUAACUCCGUGCACAGCAGCCGCGGUAAUACGGAGGGUGCGAGCGUUAAUCGGAAUUACUGGGCGUAAAGCGCGCGUAGGCGGUCUGAUAAGCCGGUUGUGAAAGCCCCGGGCUCAACCUGGGAACGGCAUCCGGAACUGUCAGGCUAGAGUGCAGGAGAGGAAGGUAGAAUUCCCGGUGUAGCGGUGAAAUGCGUAGAGAUCGGGAGGAAUACCAGUGGCGAAGGCGGUCUUCUGGACUGACACUGACGCUGAGGUGCGAAAGCGUGGGUAGCAAACAGGAUUAGAUACCCGAGUAGUC
RNAcentral lists this ribosomal RNA (466 nucleotides) under Vreelandella stevensii. Its description in RNAcentral is "partial 16S ribosomal RNA". It matches the Rfam family "Bacterial small subunit ribosomal RNA", at positions 338 to 795 of the family's 1533-position model. The record is from RNAcentral. Lineage: Bacteria; Pseudomonadati; Pseudomonadota; Gammaproteobacteria; Oceanospirillales; Halomonadaceae.